GAUCAUGGCUCAGGAUGAACGCUGGCGGCGUGCCUAAUACAUGCAAGUCGAACGCUUCACUUCGGUGAAGAGUGGCGAACGGGUGAGUAAUACAUAAGUAACCUGGCAUCUACAGGGGGAUAACUGAUGGAAACGUCAGCUAAGACCGCAUAGGUGUAGAGAUCGCAUGAACUCUAUAUGAAAAGUGCUACGGGACUGGUAGAUGAUGGACUUAUGGCGGCA
RNAcentral lists this ribosomal RNA (222 nucleotides) under uncultured bacterium. RNAcentral describes it as "partial 16S ribosomal RNA". It matches the Rfam family "Bacterial small subunit ribosomal RNA", at positions 15 to 241 of the family's 1533-position model. The record is from RNAcentral.